RNAcentral lists this ribosomal RNA (253 nucleotides) under uncultured bacterium. Its description in RNAcentral is "partial 16S ribosomal RNA". It matches the Rfam family "Bacterial small subunit ribosomal RNA", at positions 524 to 776 of the family's 1533-position model. The record is from RNAcentral.
UACGUAGGGGUCGAGCGUUGUCCGGAAUCAUUGGGCGUAAAGCGCGUGUAGGCGGCCCGGUAAGUCCGCUGUGAAAGUCCAAGGCUCAACCUUGGGAUGCCGGUGGAUACUGUCGGGCUCGAGUCCGGAAGAGGAGUGUGGAAUUCCUGGUGUAGCGGUGAAAUGCGCAGAUAUCAGGAGGAACACCAAUGGCGAAGGCAGCACUCUGGGACGUGACUGACGCUGAGACGCGAAAGCGUGGGGAGCAAACAGG